Molecule: ribosomal RNA, 1274 nt
Filed under: metagenome
Description: SSU rRNA
Rfam family: Eukaryotic small subunit ribosomal RNA
Source: RNAcentral
AGCCCGUUCUCUUUGAGGUCGGGCAUUGGAAUGGAUGGAAUCUAAACAGUUCCAUGAGUAUCAACGAGAGGGCAAGUCUGGUGCCAGCAGCCGCGGUAAUUCCAGCUCUCGUAAUGUAUAGAAUUAUUGUUGCGGUUAAAAAGUUCGUAGUUGGAUUUUCUACCGUUCGGCGGUUGGGUUUAACGACUCAGACUGUCGGCGGUUUUUGCGCUAUGACUGGCUUGCUAGUCUUAGUGCGGAUUACUUUGAACGGCUUAAGUGCUCAAGGCGAGUCUUCGGACUGAAUACCGGUGCAUGGAAUAAUGAACAAGGUCACGGCCGAGUUUUAUUGGUUUUGUCGGCUGAGACAAUGGUUAACAGGAACAGCUGGGGGCACUCGUAUCGCUGCGCGAGAGGUGAAAUUCGAGGACCGCAGCGAGACGCCCUAAAGCGAAGGCAUUUGCCAAGAGUGUUUUCAUUAAUCAAGAACGAAAGUCAGAGGUUCGAAGGCGAUUAGAUACCGCCCUAGUUCUGACCGUAAACGAUGCCAACUAUCAAUCCGCCAGUGGCUUUUAGUCAUUGGCGGGCGGAUCGACGGAAACGAAAGUUUUUCGGUUCCGGGGGAAGUAUGGUUGCAAAGCUGAAACUUAAAGGAAUUGACGGAAGGGCACCACCAGGAGUGGAGCUUGCGGCUUAAUUUGACCCAACACGGGAAACCUCACCCGGCCAGUACAUCAUAAGGAUUGACAGAUUGAAAGCUCUUUCAUGAUUUGAUGAAUGGUGGUGCAUGGCCGUUCUUAGUUCGUGGCGUGAGUCGUCUGCUUAAUUGCGAUAACGAGCGAGACUCCGACUGCUAAAUACUGUCUGGAUAAUUUCGUCCUUCACAGUUCUUAGCUGGAUUCGAGACUCCAAGUCUCAAGAAAUGGAGCAAUAACAGGUCUGUGAUGCCCUUAGAUGUUCGGGGCCGCACGCGUGCUACAAUGAUGGUAACAGCGUGAUUGUCCUCGCUCGACAGAGCUUGGCAAACAGUUGAGAUAUUAUUAUGGCUGGAAUUGAGUGUUGAAAUUUUCUCUCAUGAACGAGGAAUUCCAAGUAAAUGCGCGUCAUCAACGUGCAUUGAUUACGUCCCUGCCCUUUGUACACACCGCCCGUCGCUACCCGGGACUGAGUUGUUUCGAGAAAUCUACGGACCGAUUGUGCGUUGGCAACAACUCACUGUUGGAAAGUAAAUUAAUCGCAAUGGCUUGAACCGGGUAAAAGUCGUAACAAGGUAUCAGUAGGUGAACCUGCUGAUG